AUGCUUGCUUUGGCAGCACAUAUACGAAAAUUGGAACAAUACAGAGAAGGUUAGCAUGGCCCACUGCAAGGAUAACACACAAAUUUUUGAAGUGUUCUAUAUUUUU
This 106-nucleotide small nuclear RNA is filed under the name Dasypus novemcinctus (nine-banded armadillo). Lineage: Eukaryota; Metazoa; Chordata; Mammalia; Cingulata; Dasypodidae. The record is from RNAcentral.